CUCCUCUUUGAUCUUUACUUUGGGAGAACAUGGGCUAUCUUUUUCUUGUUUUUUUUCAGGUGGGUAGUAGAUACCCCUAAUUCUACUGUCGGACACUUGUCCAUUUUUUCCGCUCAAGUGGGCAUCUUUGUACCUCUAAUUCUACUUCGGACACUUGUCCAUUUUUACCACUCGUCUCACUCUUUUUCUUUUAUCGAGGUUCCGGGCACUUGCCCCUUUUUAUUUCCUCGCAUAUUUUUGCAUAACCCAUGCCUCUUCUGCAUUGAAUCUUUUUAGAGAGAGAGAAUAACAAUAUUUGGAACAGUGAGUGAUAAUAUUUUUAGCAAUUUUACUGAUUGG
RNAcentral lists this long non-coding RNA (339 nucleotides) under Sorghum bicolor (sorghum). RNAcentral describes it as "long non-coding RNA (SBIC_LNC018207)". Lineage: Eukaryota; Viridiplantae; Streptophyta; Magnoliopsida; Poales; Poaceae. The record is from RNAcentral.